RNAcentral lists this transfer-messenger RNA (243 nucleotides) under Clostridia bacterium. RNAcentral's name for it is "partial transfer-messenger RNA". It matches the Rfam family "transfer-messenger RNA", at positions 1 to 262 of the family's 374-position model. Rfam says of the family: Bacterial tmRNA, also known as 10Sa RNA or SsrA, is named for its dual tRNA and mRNA-like properties. Its role is to liberate the mRNA from a stalled ribosome. To accomplish this part of the tmRNA is used as a reading frame that ends in a translation stop signal. The record is from RNAcentral. Lineage: Bacteria; Bacillati; Bacillota; Clostridia.
GGGGAUGUUCUGGAUUCGACAGGGGAGUGUAAGAUUUUGUAAGCGUGCCGUAGGUAUCGACUACGAUAAAACGAUAAAUUUAAAAUAAACGCAAAAAAUAAUAAUCAACUAGCUUUCGCUGCUUAAUUAGCGAGCUUGUCAAACCUGUCUACCUAUCGGAUAGGAUUUUGGCAUCAUUUAGAAUAGGAAGGUCCUAUGCUUUUGGCGGGUAGCAAAGGAUAAAUUAACGCCUCAUCAAUAUGU